Molecule: ribosomal RNA, 789 nt
Filed under: uncultured archaeon
Lineage: Archaea
Description: bacterial SSU rRNA
Rfam family: Archaeal small subunit ribosomal RNA
Source: RNAcentral
ACGGCUCAGUAACACGUGGACAACCUACCCUGAAGAGGGGGAUAACCCCGGGAAACUGGGGAUAAUACCCCAUAGACUAUGGAUGCUGGAAUGCUUUGUAGUUGAAAGGUCCGCCGCUUCAGGAUGGGUCUGCGGCCGAUUAGGUUGUUGUUGGGGUAACGGCCCAACAAGCCUGUAAUCGGUACGGGUUGUGGGAGCAAGAGCCCGGAGAUGGAUUCUGAGACACGAAUCCAGGCCCUACGGGGCGCAGCAGGCGCGAAAACUUUACAAUGCGAGAAAUCGUGAUAAGGGAACUCCGAGUGCCCGUAAAAUCGGGCUGUCCGCCAGUGUAAAUAACUGGUGAAGAAAGGGCCGGGCAAGACCGGUGCCAGCCGCCGCGGUAAUACCGGCGGCUCGAGUGGUGGCCACUAUUACUGGGCUUAAAGCGUUCGUAGCUGGUCUGUUAAGUCUCUGGGGAAAUCUUCCGGCUUAACCGGAAGGCGUCUCAGGGAUACUGGCAGACUAGGGACCGGAAGAGGUGAGAGGUACUCCAGGGGUAGGAGUGAAAUCCUGUAAUCCUUGGGGGACCACCUGUGGCGAAGGCGUCUCACCAGGACGGCUCCGACAGUGAGGAACGAAAGCUGGGGGAGCAAACCGGAUUAGAUACCCGGGUAGUCCCAGCUGUAAACGAUGCGCGUUAGGUGUAUCGGUGACCACGAGUCACCGAGGUGCCGAAGAGAAAUCGUGAAACGCGCCGCCUGGGAAGUACGGUCGCAAGGCUGAAACUUAAAGGAAUUGGCGGGGGAGCAC